CCUACGGGUGGCUGCAGUCGAGAAUCUUCGGCAAUGGGCGCUAGCCUGACCGAGCGACGCCGCGUGGAGGACGAAGGCCUUCGGGUUGUAAACUCCUGUCGAGGGGGAACAAGGGUGGUGAAGAGCCAUCUUGAGUGAUCCCUGGAGGAAGCACGGGCUAAGUUCGUGCCAGCAGCCGCGGUAAGACGAACCGUGCGAACGUUAUUCGGAAUCACUGGGCUUAAAGCGCGUGUAGGCGGGUCGGCACGUCGAGCGUUGAAAUCCCCCGGCUCAACCGGGGAAGUGGCAUCGAUACGACCGACCUGGAGGGGGGUAGGGGGAGCCGGAACUUCCGGUGGAGCGGUGAAAUGCGUUGAGAUCGGAAGGAACGCCCGUGGCGAAAGCGGGCUCCUGGACCCCACCUGACGCUGAGACGCGAAAGCCAGGGGAGCGAACGGGAUUAGAUACCCGAGUAGUC
Molecule: ribosomal RNA, 457 nt
Filed under: uncultured bacterium
Lineage: Bacteria
Description: bacterial SSU rRNA
Rfam family: Bacterial small subunit ribosomal RNA
Source: RNAcentral